GACGAACGCUGGCGGCGUGCUUAACACAUGCAAGUCGAACGGAAAGGCCCUGCUUGCAGGGUGCUCGAGUGGCGAACGGGUGAGUAACACGUGGGUGAUCUGCCCCUUACUUUGGGAUAAGCCUGGGAAACUGGGUCUAAUACUGGAUAGGACCAUGCUGUAGGUGGUGUGGUGGAAAGAUUAGUUUCGGUAAGGGAUGAGCUCGCGGCCUAUCAGCUUGUUGGUGGGGUAAUGGCCUACCAAGGCGUCGACAGGUAGCCGGCCUGAGAGGGUGGACGGCCACAUUGGGACUGUGAUACGGCCCAGACUCCUACGGGAGGCAGCAGUGGGGAAUAGUGCACUAUGGGCGCAAGCCGGAUGCCGCGACGCCGCGUGGGGGAUGACGGCCUUCGGGUUGUAAACUCCUUUCGGCCAUGACGAAGCCCUUGUGGUGACGGUAGUGGUAGAAGAAGCACCGGCUAACUACGUG
This 469-nucleotide ribosomal RNA is filed under the name uncultured bacterium. RNAcentral's name for it is "partial 16S ribosomal RNA". It matches the Rfam family "Bacterial small subunit ribosomal RNA", at positions 28 to 507 of the family's 1533-position model. The record is from RNAcentral.